AGAGUUUGAUCAUGGCUCAGAUUGAACGCUGGCGGCAUGCUUUACACAUGCAAGUCGAGCGGCAGCGCGGGGGCAACCCUGGCGGCGAGCGGCGAACGGGUGAGUAAUACAUCGGAACGUGUCCAGUAGUGGGGGAUAACCAGUCGAAAGAUUGGCUAAUACCGCAUACGAUCUACGGAUGGAAGCGGGGGACCGCAAGGCCUCGCGCUAUUGGAGCGGCCGAUGUCCGAUUAGCUAGUUGGCGGGGUAACGGCCCACCAAGGCGACGAUCGGUAGCUGGUCUGAGAGGAUGAUCAGCCACACUGGAACUGAGACACGGUCCAGACUCCUACGGGAGGCAGCAGUGGGGAAUUUUGGNCAAUGGGCGCAAGCCUGAUC
Molecule: ribosomal RNA, 378 nt
Filed under: uncultured beta proteobacterium
Lineage: Bacteria; Pseudomonadati; Pseudomonadota; Betaproteobacteria
Description: bacterial SSU rRNA
Rfam family: Bacterial small subunit ribosomal RNA
Source: RNAcentral